RNAcentral lists this long non-coding RNA (1581 nucleotides) under Homo sapiens (human). RNAcentral describes it as "HSALNT0215720". The record is from RNAcentral. Lineage: Eukaryota; Metazoa; Chordata; Mammalia; Primates; Hominidae.
GCCGAUCCUCAGCGCUCUGGCCCGGCGGCGGCGCGAAGUCCUGCUGGCUGGCUCCGCCCGCUUCGGCGCCUCCAAAUAACGGCAUCUUUCCGCGCGCGGUCUUAGGCCCCUUCCUUUUUCCCCCAAACCUGCCCGGAAACCCCAUCCCAGCCUGCAAAAGUCCGCAUAACGCCGACUGUUCCCAAACUUCUCCUUGGAACCCCAGACCCCCAAAGUUGUUCUCCAGUUGCCCCGGGGCGCCUCCUCCGCCCGGACAGUCCACGCCUAGCGCCCGUGGUCCGCCAGCGGGGCCCGCGGGCUGGUGGCAGGAUCCUGCGGGACCCAGGGACGCCUGUGUCUGCGACCGAGAGCGCACGGCGUGGCCGGAGGCUGUUCUCCCAGAGACUCGGGGGCCUGCGGACCCUCCUAGACCAGGCGAAGCCCCAUCUGAGGCGCUGGCUCAGGCCCGAAGGAGUUGGAGUUGGAGGGAUGAAAAUCUGGGUCCGCCCUCCAGGGAAAGCGGGAAAUGUGCCGGGGAGGCGGGGGUAGCGGAGGAGAAGGUAUUUUCGAAAUAAUGACCAGGGCUUCCCCCUCUGUCGUAACCCGCGUCUCCUUGCCCAUCCCGUAUGAAGAUGAGGCCAAUUCUGGGCGUUUUAGUUCCCAAUUCCUAUCCCGAGGGACCACCCAGCGUGAAAGUCGUGGCAGGGGAAGGCCAGGUGUGCCCACUCCUAGCCCAGGUAAAGGUCCCCCGGGCUGGAGGUAGAGGCCCAGGGAGUGUAGAUGCUGCUGGGUUUCUGAGAAGAGGCAAUGCCCCUGCCCCACGCUUGAGCCAGUCCUGGAGAGGUUGGGGGUUGGAAAACGAAGGGGACCUUGGUACCGCCUUCCCAGGUAUAGUUAGGGACAUGGGACAUGGCUGUUAGGGGUGUGGGCUGAGGGGCGACGGAGACGGCCAAGUCUUAAGAGCCGUGCCCAGCACGGAGGAGGCGGGACUUCUGCCCUCGGGGCCACCGCAGCCUGGACAGGUGGGCAGCAGAGCAUCCAUCCCCCCGGCGCCUGGCCCGGCCGCCCAGUUGGACUCGGGGAUGUUGGCUUGCUAUGGCGCCCCCGUGUGGCGGCGGUGACAGGCAGCCGCAGGCCCACAGGGUAACUCAGGCUGGCCCUGCUGGGGUGAGGUGUGGAACGGAGCCACCAGGUCCCCUGUGGGCUGUGAAAGCUCCGGGGCUUGAGGGCAAUUUGGAGGGAGGAUGAGGCUGCAAGAAGGAGGGUGUGGAUUCCUGCGCACUGGAAGGUGGGUUGGGGUGGUUAGCUAGAAAAGAAAUGUGACGGCAUCACAUUUAGUAUCCAGUUUGUGGAACGGCUCCCUGAGAUUACACAGUGCAUCGCACUGUCUGAAGAGGACUUUCUCUUGCCUUGUCUCUCCAGACCCCUGGAACAAUGGUACUGUUAGCAACAGCAAAUCCAUAUGGGUCUGCAGCAGCCUCAGUUCUUGCCUCCUCAGAAGAAAGAAUUCGACUGAGGGGCGUAAGGCAGAGUGAGAGGCAAGUUUUAGAGCAGGAGUGAAAAUGUAUUUAAAAGUUUUAGAGGCCGGGCGCAGUGGCUCAC